RNAcentral lists this ribosomal RNA (650 nucleotides) under uncultured Inocybe. Its description in RNAcentral is "eukaryotic LSU rRNA". The stretch from base 238 to 391 matches the Rfam family "5.8S ribosomal RNA". The record is from RNAcentral. Lineage: Eukaryota; Fungi; Basidiomycota; Agaricomycetes; Agaricales; Cortinariaceae.
GGCUGUUGCUGGUCCCCUCGGGGGUAUGUGCACGCUUGUCAUCUUUAUAAUUUCUCCAACCUGUGCACACACUUGUAGACCCUGAAUGAAUUUCUAUUCGAGUUGGGGACUGCUGCGCUCACAAUUAAAAGCCGGCUUUCCCUUGUAUUUUUCAGGUCUAUGUCAUUUUUUCACAACCUCUAGAACAUGUUUAGAAUGUUGAAUCAGGUCUUUGUACCUAUAAUAAAAGUUAUAUACAACUUUCAGCAACGGAUCUCUUGGCUCUCGCAUCGAUGAAGAACGCAGCGAAAUGCGAUAAGUAAUGUGAAUUGCAGAAUUCAGUGAAUCAUCGAAUCUUUGAACGCAUCUUGCGCUCCUUGGUAUUCCGAGGAGCAUGCCUGUUUGAGUGUCAUUUGACUUCUCUCAACCACAUCGUCUUUUCGAUUGUGGCUUGGAUGUGGGGGGAUUUGCAGGCUAACUAACUGACAAGCCGGCUCCCCUGAAAUGCAUUAGUGGUAAUCUGAGCUGCUAUUGGUGUGAUAAUUUAUCUAUGCCUUUGGUACAGGACCGCUUAUAAACAACACAAAAAAUCAUUUGACAAAUUUGACCUCAAAUCAGGUAGGACUACCCGCUGAACUUAAGCAUAUCAAUAAGCGGANGAAGUNNUGGUC